AAGUCUUCGGAUGGAUAGAAGAACCCCUGAUGCCGUCGAGCCAAGAAAAGUUUCUAAGUUUAGCUAAUGUUGCCCGUACCGUAAACCGACACAGGUGGGUGGGAUGAGUAUUCUAAGGCGCGUGGAAGAACUCUCUUUAAGGAACUCUGCAAAAUAGCACCGUAUCUUCGGUAUAAGGUGUGGUUAGCUUUGUAUUAGGAUUUACUCCGAAAGCAAGGAAACUUACAACAAAGAGUCCCUCCCGACUGUUUACCAAAAACACAGCACUCUGCUAACUCGUAAGAGGAUGUAUAGGGUGUGACGCCUGCCCGGUGCUCGAAGGUUAAUUGAUGGGGUUAGCAUUAGCGAAGCUCUUGAUCGAAGCCCGAGUAAACGGCGGCCGUAACUAUAACGGUCCUAAGGUAGCGAAAUUCCUUGUCGGUUAAAUACCGACCUGCAUGAAUGGCGUAACGAGAUGGGAGCUGUCUCAAAGAGGGAUCCAGUGAAAUUGUAGUGGAGGUGAAAAUUCCUCCUACCCGCGGCAAGACGGAGAGACCCCGUGGACCUUUACUACAGCUUGACACUGCUACUUGGAUAAGAAUGUGCAGGAUAGGUGGGAGGCUUUGAGUAUAUGACGCCAGUUGUAUAUGAGCCAUUGUUGAGAUACCACUCUUUCUUAUUUGGGUAGCUAACCAGCUUGAGUUAUCCUCAAGUGGGACAAUGUCUGGUGGGUAGUUUGACUGGGGCGGUCGCCUCCCAAAUAAUAACGGAGGCUUACAAAGGUUGGCUCAGAACGGUUGGAAAUCGUUCGUAGAGUAUAAAGGUAUAAGCCAGCUUAACUGCAAGACAUACAAGUCAAGCAGAGACGAAAGUCGGUCUUAGUGAUCCGGUGGUUCUGUGUGGAAGGGCCAUCGCUCAAAGGAUAAAAGGUACCCCGGGGAUAACAGGCUGAUCUCCCCCAAGAGCUCACAUCGACGGGGAGGUUUGGCACCUCGAUGUCGGCUCAUCGCAUCCUGGGGCUGGAGCAGGUCCCAAGGGUAUGGCUGUUCGCCAUUUAAAGCGGUACGCGAGCUGGGUUCAGAACGUCGUGAGACAGUUCGGUCCCUAUCUGCCGUGGGCGUAAGAAGAUUGAAGAGAUUUGACCCUAGUACGAGAGGACCGGGUUGAACAAACCACUGGUGUAGCUGUUGUUCUGCCAAGAGCAUCGCAGCGUAGCUAAGUUUGGAAAGGAUAAACGCUGAAAGCAUCUAAGCGUGAAGCCAACUCUAAGAUGAAUCUUCUCUAAGCUCUCUAGAAGACUACUAGUUUGAUAGGCUGGGUGUGUAAUGGAUGAAAGUCCUUUAGCUGACCAGUACUAAUAGAGCGUUUGGCUUAUCUUUAAUAAAGCAU
RNAcentral lists this ribosomal RNA (1368 nucleotides) under Campylobacter jejuni. Its description in RNAcentral is "partial 23S ribosomal RNA". It matches the Rfam family "Bacterial large subunit ribosomal RNA", at positions 1567 to 2925 of the family's 2925-position model. The record is from RNAcentral. Lineage: Bacteria; Pseudomonadati; Campylobacterota; Epsilonproteobacteria; Campylobacterales; Campylobacteraceae.